CGAGUUAACUUUUUUUUUUGAAACACACUUAUAUUAAAUCUUCAAACAAAAGUAGAUGGCGCCAUUAAAAUCAGUUCAACAGAAAAAAUCUGUUUUGCUAGCUUAUGAGCUUCUACAUUUUUUUCUCUAGAGAUUCAACUAAAAAAAAUACAUUCAAAAAAAGCAGCUAAAGAUAAGAUAACGGCCGUAAUCCUAUAGAAGCAUGAAGAUUUUGAUUUGAGCGCCUUGACUAGAAUGGCAAAAUCCGAUUCACAUCUGAUUCUUGCUAGUCCUAGUUCGCGACACUUCUCGACGACUGCUCGCAAAACCAGUACCUCCGCCGCCUGAGGGGAUCUCAUAUGGUGAGCAGGAACAGAGUGUGAGGAUCGUCCAUUUUGUGGAAAUUUUGCGCUACUACUUUCCAUCCCAAACCUGCAAGCUUUAAAGACUCAUUCCAAGCAUCAUCAAUUUUGAUCAGAGCAUGUGGUUGGAACCAUCUGGGUACUAGAAGUCGGUCCCAUUCCAAGUUGGCAUGAGCCCCAUUCUCGAGCAGUAGUAAUAUGUUUAUCGCUGAAGACAAGGUUAUUUCUCGCAGUCCAUAUGUACUACAGAAUCCAGGGCGCCAGUUGUCCCUCAGUCACUUCGGUUGAUGGUAGAUUCGUCUUUGAGAUUAGGCUGAUCCAUAGACUUCUUGAAUCUAUAGAUUCAUUGUAUUACAAGUUAACCACAAAUUAUUUUUUUCAGGCAUUUCGUGACAAACCGAUUAGCUAUAAAAAUUAGUUUAUAGGCAAAAAAGUAAACCGUAGCUAUCUAGAUUUUUUUUAUUAGCGAC
Molecule: long non-coding RNA, 811 nt
Filed under: Brassica napus (rape)
Lineage: Eukaryota; Viridiplantae; Streptophyta; Magnoliopsida; Brassicales; Brassicaceae
Description: long non-coding RNA (BNAP_LNC002764)
Source: RNAcentral